This 253-nucleotide ribosomal RNA is filed under the name uncultured bacterium. Its description in RNAcentral is "partial 16S ribosomal RNA". It matches the Rfam family "Bacterial small subunit ribosomal RNA", at positions 524 to 776 of the family's 1533-position model. The record is from RNAcentral.
UACGUAGGGUGCGAGCGUUAAUCGGAAUUACUGGGCGUAAAGCGUGCGCAGGCGGUUCGCCGUGUCCGAUGUGAAAGCCCCGGGCUUAACCUGGGAAUGGCAUUGGAAACUGGCGGGCUUGAGUGUGGCAGAGGGGGGUGGAAUUCCACGUGUAGCAGUGAAAUGCGUAGAGAUGCGGAGGAACACCGAUGGCGAAGGCAGCCCCCUGGGCCAAUACUGACGCUCAGGCACGAAAGCGUGGGGAGCAAACAGG